GUUUGCACGUUCUCCCCGUGCCCGCGUGGGUUUUCUCCGGGCACUCCGCUUUCCUCCCACAUCCCAAAAACAUGCAUGGUAGGUUGAUUGACAACUCUAAAUUGCCCGUAGGUGUGAAUGGUUGUUUUCUUAUAUGUGCCCUGCGAUUGGCUGGUGACCAGUUAAGGGUGUACCCCACCUCUCGCCCAGAUUCAGCUGGGAUAGGCCCCAGCAUGCCCCCGACCCUAGUGAGGAUAAGCGGUACGGAAAAUGAAUGAAUGAAUUGUUUUCUUUUUUUUGAUUGAUACCGCUCGUCGUGUGCUGCAAGUACUCACUUGUUGCUUUAAAAACCCAAAUUACACACAUGAAAAAAAUCCCUAUUCUCUUCUUUUCCAUGCUCUCUCUCUCUCUCUCUCUCUCUCUCUCUCUCUAUCUCUCAUACGUGUUCUCUAUCGCCGUUUCUGUGUUAAAUUGAUGAGUUAAAGUCCCCUCUUUUUCUGAUUGGUGUAUAGUGGUCUGUAUAAUAUUGAAUGAAUAUUUCUCAAUUGCAAAAACACAAAACCUUAUUGUCAGAACCAAAUGCUCAGUGCCCUAAAGCCAGUGCCCUGUUUGUUGAAGUUUCACUAUGGAUAGAGACAAUCAGAGAGACAGAGGCAGAGUAAGACUAAGAGGUGGUCCAGGAGGAAGAGGAGAGGGAGGAGUUAGAAUUCAAGGAACUAUUACGUAUCGUAUUUCAGAUGACUUUCGUAGGCCAUGUACAUUACCACGGUUUGACAAUGAGGGAGGCGGGAAUGCAGGGAGUGGCGCCCGACCUAAGAAAAUUCACUGCGUCCACCGCAGUCGAAAGAUUCUGAGACGUGAACAGGGUCGCGGGACGCCGGAGCCUAUCCCGGCUGACUUCGGGCGAAAGGCGGACGACACCCUGAACCGGUCGCCAGUCAGUCGCAGGGCACAUAUAGACACGGACAACCAUUCGCACUCCCAUUCACGCCGUCACUGAGUGGGAACUGAACCCACGCUGCGGGGGGAGCCAAAGUCAGGCGAGUGGACCGCUACACCAUCAGUGACACAUAUAUAUAUAUAUAUUGAUAUAUGCGUUUGUAUGUUUGUGUGUUUGGUUGUGUACGUGCGUGAAUCUGAUCAUCUUUCCACCAUAUUCCCGUCUCAGCACAUUCCUGAGCCUCUUCCAUGCGAUGUGUCCAUGUGUCAGGGAACAGCUUCCUGUUGUGGAUGGAAUGUUCCCCAAAACGUCUGAAAGAACACUCACUAGUGCCCUGAGCUCCAGCUCAAAUACUGUUAAGCUCCCUUGAGGAUGGUGGAGGAACCAGGCUGAAAAAACUACAAACAAAGAGAAGAAAUUUCAGGGUGGCGGUGGCCAGAGAACGUGUAUGCGAGGUUGAAGUUGAAUAACAACGGACCAAACACGAUGAGAAAAUGUGCUUUGGCAGUCAUGAUGUAAAUAACUACAACCCCAUUUCCAAUGAAGUUGGGACGUUCGAUCGAAGGUCACGGCCAUUCAAUGUUGCCGCUUCCAUGCAGCGAUUUCUCCAGAUUCUCUCAACCUUUUGAUGAUAUUAUGGAGCGUAGAUGAUGAAAUCCCGCAAUUCCUUGCAAUUGUACAUUGAGGAACAUUGUCCUUCAACUGUUCGACUAUUUUCUCACACACUUGUUGACAAAGAGGUGAACCUCGCCCCAUCUUUGCUUGUGAAUGACGGAGCAAUUCAGGGAAGCAAUCACGGCACCCACCUGUUCCCAAUGGGCCUGUUCACCUGUGGGAUGUUCCAAACACGUGUUUGAUGAGCAUUCCUCAGCUUUCUCUGUCUUUUUUUGCCACCUCUCUCAGCUUUGUUGGAACGUGUUGCAGCCAUCAAAUUCUAAAUUCAUGAUUAUUUGCUAAAAACAAUCAAGUUGAUCAGUUUGAACAUUAAAUAUCUUGUCAUUGUAGUGUAUCCAAUGAAAUAUAGGUUGAAGAUGAUUUGCAAAUCGUUGUAGUCUGUUUUUAUUUAUGUCCCAACUUCAUUGGAAUUGGGCUUGUAAUUGGCGUCAACUCCUGGUGAAGGUCUGCAUUAUCUAUGCACCAAUAUUCCCUGGAAUUGUCUCAAGAUGGAGAAAGACAAAGAGGGCAAUCUCUGCAGUGUUUGUAAACAGACAACCAGAGGAAUCCAAGCUAUGAAAACCCGCCAUGAGUUUGGUAGUGUCUACACGUCCAUGCAAACAUAGUGAGACACAUACACACGGAUAACAAUGCAGUGCGAACGCGAGCCGUUUGCAAGUUUAAGGGUUACAAUUUUCACAGUGGGCAUGUGUGCGUCUGACUGCAUUCUUUUUCAUCUUCAUGUCAGGCUUCUUCAAGUGUCAUUUUUGUGGCGCUUCCGUGCUCAGAAUGGAAAACUGUAACCUUGAGUGACUCUGUGGAGAAUUUCUUUCACAAAGAGCCACAAGGCCACACCUGCCUGAGUGAAAACAGCAUUGGAAUUCUGAUGUAAAUGGGCGACCCCAGUGAGGAGAAGCGGCUCAGAAAAUGGAUGGCUGGAUGGAUAUGUGUUGCUGUUGUAGCGACACGGUGUGUGCUGGUUAGCGCAUCUGUCACACAGUUCUGAGGACCGGGCUUCAAAUCUCCACCUGUGUGGAGUUUGCAUGUUCUCCCCGUGCCUGCGUGGGCUUUUCUCCGGGCACGCCGGUUUCCUCCCACAUCCCAGAAACAUGCGUGGUAGGUUGAUUGGUACAGAAAAUGGAUGGAUGGAUGGAUAAUACAUAUAAGUGUACCGUUGCAAGAAAAAGUAUGUGACCCCCUGGGAAUUACCUGGAUUUCUGCAUAAAUUACAAAUAAAAUGUAUUCUGAUCUUCAUUUAAUUCACAACGGUCUGCUUAAACUAAUACCACGCAAUUAUGUUUUACUUUUCCAUGUUUGUAUUGAAUAAGCCAUGUAAACAGGACAAUGCAGAAUAGAAAAUGAUGUGAGUCUUUGGAGCUGAUAACUGGUUCAAGCUCCUUUAGCAGCAAUAACUGCGAACCAAACGUUUCCUUUUCCUGUAGUUUGCAGAUCAGGCCUCCAUAACAGUCAAGAGGAAUUUCAGGCCAUUCCUUUUUACAAAAAUGUUGGAGUUCGACUGUCUUCUAGGGAUGUGUGUUGUGAAUCACUUGAGGUCACACCACAGCAUCUCAAUAGGGUUGAGGUUAGGACUCUGACUGGGUCACUCCAGAUGGCGUAUUUUGUUCUGUUUUAGACUUUCUGCUGUUGAUUCACUUCUGUCCUUUGGGUCAUUGUCUUGUUGGAUCACUCAUCCUAUAAUGACUUUCAUUUGGCAGACAAAAUUGUUUUAGCUUCUCCUACAAAAUGUCUUGCCAAACCUGGGAAUUCAUUUUCCCGUUGAUGAUGGGAAUGCAUCCAGGCCCUAAGGCAGCAAAAAAAGUCUCAAACCAUGCAACAAGUAACCUAAUUCAUUAGUUUUAAUCAUAAUAACGCCGUUGCUGUCGCUAACAAAACAAGGGUGCGCAUCACCUAUUCGUUUAUCGAAGCUGCUUUCAUCAGACCAACCGACUCGAGCUCUAAAGUGAGAGGCGUUUUCAUUGUUAUUGUUUUCUGUUCCUCCUUGUGAGGGAGCAUGGAACAACCGCAUAAGUGAUGAUGAUUGGCUGAGGCGGGGUCAAAUGUCAUUGUAAGCCAAUCAGUGUCAUGUUGCUGCCUUUGUGCCUGCUUGUGUUUGUGUUUAUGUUUCAGCCAAGCACACAUGAACGUGCUGUGUCAUAACGUUCCCAUGAAGUAAAAGGUUCAUUUUAUGGACAUAUGUACAAAGGGAUGUGUGCGGUGUACAAGUUCUCAGUAAAAGAAGCCAUACACAAGUUUGUGGUCUUUCUAUCACGUUUCAACAUUAGGUAUUAGAAGUUCAAUUCCAAGUCAGUUUCUGUCCAAAAGGCAAUAUGUGGUACAGCUGCAUGAAACUGACCGCCAUGACUCCAGACUCUUAUGAAAGAACUGCUCUUGAUGGGUGGCGUACUAUUGUCAAUAAAAUCUCAAAGACAGGCUGAUAUGUAACAUAUAUAAAGCAGAAGAUUUGUCACGCAUGUAGAUGGAUGUA
Long non-coding RNA from Phyllopteryx taeniolatus (common seadragon), 4058 nucleotides. RefSeq lists it as uncharacterized. The record is from RefSeq and is a predicted model, not a curated record. The transcript is spliced from 3 exons. Lineage: Eukaryota; Metazoa; Chordata; Actinopteri; Syngnathiformes; Syngnathidae.